ACGGAGGGUGCAAGCGUUAUUCGGAAUCAUUGGGCGUAAAGGGCGCGUAGGCGGUUUUUUAAGUCAGAUGUGAAAGCCCGGGGCUUAACCCCGGAAGUGCAUUUGAAACUGAAAGACUUGAGUAUGGGAGAGGGAAGUGGAAUUCCUGGUGUAGAGGUGAAAUUCGUAGAUAUCAGGAGGAACACCGGUGGCGAAGGCGACUUCCUGGACCAAUACUGACGCUGAGGCGCGAAGGCGUGGGUAGCAAACAGGAUUAGAUACCCUGGUAGUCCACGCAGUAAACGGUGAACACUAGGUGUAGCGGGUAUUGACCCCUGCUGUGCCGAAGUUAACGCAUUAAGUGUUCCGCCUGGGAAGUACGGUCGCAAGAUUA
RNAcentral lists this ribosomal RNA (373 nucleotides) under uncultured bacterium. RNAcentral's name for it is "bacterial SSU rRNA". It matches the Rfam family "Bacterial small subunit ribosomal RNA", at positions 525 to 896 of the family's 1533-position model. The record is from RNAcentral.